RNAcentral lists this ribosomal RNA (466 nucleotides) under uncultured bacterium. RNAcentral describes it as "partial 16S ribosomal RNA". It matches the Rfam family "Bacterial small subunit ribosomal RNA", at positions 28 to 523 of the family's 1533-position model. The record is from RNAcentral.
GAUGAACGCUGGCGGCGUGCCUAACACAUGCAAGUCGAGCGAACCCUUCGGGGUGAGCGGCGGUCGGGUGAGUAACGCGUGGGUAACCUGCCCUAUACACACGGAUAACGUACCGAAAGGUACGCUAAUACGGGAUAAAGUUGUUGGAUGGCAUCUUCUAACAAUCAAAGCUCUGGCGGUAUAGGAUGGACCCGCGUCUGAUUAGCUAGUUGGUGAGGUAAUGGCUAACCAAGGCGACGAUCAGUAGCCGACCUGAGAGGGUGAUCGGCCACACUGGAACUGAGACACGGUCCAGACUCCUACGGGAGGCAGCAGUGGGGAAUAUUGCACAAUGGGCGAAAGCCUGAUGCAGCAACGCCGCGUGAGCGAUGAAGGUCUUCGGAUCGUAAAGCUCUGUCCUCAAGGAAGAUAAUGACGGUACUUGAGGAGGAAGCCCCGGCUAACUACGUGCCAGCAGCCGCCGUAA